Molecule: ribosomal RNA, 497 nt
Filed under: uncultured bacterium
Lineage: Bacteria
Description: partial 16S ribosomal RNA
Rfam family: Bacterial small subunit ribosomal RNA
Source: RNAcentral
GAUGAACGCUGGCGGCGUGCCUAAUACAUGCAAGUCGAGCGAACAGACGAGGAGCUUGCUCCUCUGACGUUAGCGGCGGACGGGUGAGUAACACGUGGAUAACCUACCUAUAAGACUGGGAUAACUUCGGGAAACCGGAGCUAAUACCGGAUAAUAUAUUGAACCGCAUGGUUCAAUAGUGAAAGACGGUUUUGCUGUCACUUAUAGAUGGAUCCGCGCCGCAUUAGCUAGUUGGUAAGGUAACGGCUUACCAAGGCAACGAUGCGUAGCCGACCUGAGAGGGUGAUCGGCCACACUGGAACUGAGACACGGUCCAGACUCCUACGGGAGGCAGCAGUAGGGAAUCUUCCGCAAUGGGCGAAAGCCUGACGGAGCAACGCCGCGUGAGUGAUGAAGGUCUUCGGAUCGUAAAACUCUGUUAUUAGGGAAGAACAAAUGUGUAAGUAACUAUGCACGUCUUGACGGUACCUAGCCAGAAAGCCACGGCUAACUACGUG